AAAGUAUUAUUUAAAUUAUUUGGUAAGAAGUUAUUAAUAAAAAUAAUUUUAGUGGAUAUGUUUUAGUAUAGUUUAUAGAAUAGAUUAGGUAUAUAAUAGGGAAGUAGUACUGUGAAGGAAAUAUGAAAUAGGUGAAAUAGUUAUUAAGAUGAAAGAAGAAUAGAGUUUGUACCUUGUGUAUCAGGGUUUAUUAAAUAAUAGUAAUGAUUUAUGAUUCUCGAAUUGAAAAGAGUUAAGAUGAUAUAAUAGUUAAUGUGUUAUUAUUAUUAUUGAUAUUAUUUUAGGGAUGAAAUGUUAAACGUUUUUUAAGUUAUCUAGUUUUUCAAGAAAUGAAUUUAAUUCAUGUUAUGGGAGUAAUUAUUUAAUUAAUGUAAUAGAUUAUUUUUUAUAACAAAUAUAUGAAGGGAUAAGCUUUUGUGUAAGAAUUAUAAACUGUGAGUUUUUGCAAGGAGUUGUAGGCUUUAAAUUAGCUAUCAAUAAAAUAAUGUUAUAAAUUGUUUUGUGAAAAAGUUAUUUUUAAUAGUUUUAAUUUGUAUAUUGGAAUAUUAUAUUAAAUAAGUUAAUAUGAGUAAUGAUGGUAAAAUGAGUAUAUAAAAUUGUUUACUAUAAUAUUUUUAGGAAUUUAUAAUAAGGAACUAGGCAAAAUUAUCACUCCCCUGUUUAUCAAAAACAUCUUCUUUUGUGUUUAUUUAAGGUAGGGCCUGCCCACUGAAAUUAUUUGAAGGGCCGCGGUAUUAUGACCGUGCAAAGGUAGCAUAAUCAUUAGUCUUUUAAUUGAAGGCUGGAAUGAAUGGUUUGACGAGGUGAUGACUGKCUCMUUAUAAAAAAAUAGAAGUUAACUUUUAAGUUAAAAGGCUUAAAUUUUAGUGGAGGACGAGAAGACCCUAUAGAGCUUCAUAUAUAGAUUUAGAUUUGCAUUUAGUGGUUUAUAAAAUUUUAGAUUUAUUAUAUUGUGUUGGGGUGACAUAAAGAUAGAAUUAACUCUUUAUUUUUAGGACAUUGAUGUAUGGAUUAUUGAUCCAUUUUUAAUGAUCAUAAGAUUAAGUUACCUUAGGGAUAACAGCGUGAUUUUUCUUGAGAGUUCAUAUCAACAGAGAAGAUUGCGACCUCGAUGUUGGAUUAAGGAAUAUAAUUAGAUGCAGCAGUUUAAUUAAUAGGUCUGUUCGACCUUUAAAUCCUUACAUGAUCUGAGUUCAGACCGGUGUGAGCCAGGUCGGUUUCUAUCCUCAUUAUUAUUUUAUACUUUAGUACGAAAGGACCAAGUAUUUUUAAAUAUUUUAUUAAGUUUGAUUGUUACUA
RNAcentral lists this ribosomal RNA (1299 nucleotides) under Poecilimon bosphoricus. Its description in RNAcentral is "16S ribosomal RNA". The stretch from base 869 to 1228 matches the Rfam family "Bacterial large subunit ribosomal RNA", at positions 2075 to 2645 of the family's 2925-position model. Lineage: Eukaryota; Metazoa; Arthropoda; Insecta; Orthoptera; Tettigoniidae. The record is from RNAcentral.